UACGUAGGGUGCGAGCGUUAAUCGGAUUUACUGGGCGUAAAGCGUGCGCAGGCGGCCCGUUAAGACAGGUGUGAAAUCCCUGGGCUCAACCUAGGAAUUGCGCUUGUGACUGGCGGGCUCGAGUACGGUAGAGGGGGGUGGAAUUCCUGGUGUAGCAGUGAAAUGCGUAGAGAUCAGGAGGAACACCGAUGGCGAAGGCAGCCCCCUGGGCAUGUACUGACGCUCAUGCACGAAAGCGUGGGGAGCAAACAGG
This 253-nucleotide ribosomal RNA is filed under the name uncultured microorganism. RNAcentral describes it as "partial 16S ribosomal RNA". It matches the Rfam family "Bacterial small subunit ribosomal RNA", at positions 524 to 776 of the family's 1533-position model. The record is from RNAcentral.